AUAGAAGUUCAAUAUUUACAAAACAUCCAAAAAUCCUACAAGUUGUAAAAUUUGUCUACAUUCAAAAGUCAUCAUCAGCUUUAUCGAUUUCGUCAUCUGUAGAAACUCAGCUACAAGCUCGUCGGUGGGGUAGCCUGCUCAUACUUUACGGGAUAGAACGAAAGUGACGAAAGUCCUCGCGCAUGACAGCUUUCGAUGACGGUGUGAAAAUUACACGAGCUCAACGAUAUAAAGAACUGAAGGAAUUAAUCUAUGAUUAUUAUUUCAAAAAAUAGCAAACAAUGGAGUCUAGAAAAAUAUUAACAAUAGAAGAAAAAUCUCUGUAUUUCAUUUCGUCGUGCAAAAUUCGAUUCAAUUCGAAACGAAACUUCGAGGCCUGCUUCUCCGAUUGGUUUAGUUCUCAUUCUCCCGCUAGAUGUCAUGUGUUUCCACUGAUUCACCAUCGGGCCAGAAAAAACUUGACAAAGGUCUGCGGCGUCAGCGGCCUGCAGGCAGAUCGGCGCGAUCAAAUAUUCGAUGUCUUCGAUGUCAACCAGCACCACCAGCACAAAACCAAUUGAUCUUUUGACGUGCUUAUCUGCCUUUUGUCGACGUCUAAGAAACUUUGGAAAUUCGACGAAAUUUUCAGUGUGUAACCAAACAAAUUUUUCGCUAACGACGAUCAGCACACUACUUCGGGAUCCUUGUGAAGCAAUCAUAACCUAAAAUUGACAUAUUUCAGUAAAAUGCAAAUCGUGUAAUUCAAAGUUUCAUGUUCGUGUAUAUAUUAUCGUAAAUACAUUGUUUAUAAAACA
Venturia canescens is the source of this 794-nucleotide long non-coding RNA. RefSeq lists it as uncharacterized. The transcript has 2 exons. The record is from RefSeq and is a predicted model, not a curated record. NCBI's taxonomy places the organism in Eukaryota, Metazoa, Arthropoda, Insecta, Hymenoptera, Ichneumonidae.